This 197-nucleotide ribosomal RNA is filed under the name Chydorus sphaericus complex sp. A2. RNAcentral describes it as "partial 28S ribosomal RNA". The record is from RNAcentral. Lineage: Eukaryota; Metazoa; Arthropoda; Branchiopoda; Diplostraca; Chydoridae.
AGAGCGGCGAGCGACAGGAAGAGCUCAGCACCAACCUCGCGCGCCCGGCAAAGCGACGCAGAGGAAUGUGGUGUUUGGGAGAACCGUGCGUGUCUGUCCGGUAUAUUCAUCCAAGUCUCCAUGACGGGGCGAGCAACCCCACAGAGGGUGUCAGGCCCGAAGCCAAUAGCCGCCGACCCCGGAAGAUGAGCCCCCCC